RNAcentral lists this ribosomal RNA (253 nucleotides) under uncultured bacterium. RNAcentral describes it as "partial 16S ribosomal RNA". It matches the Rfam family "Bacterial small subunit ribosomal RNA", at positions 524 to 776 of the family's 1533-position model. The record is from RNAcentral.
UACGUAGGGUGCGAGCGUUAAUCGGAAUUACUGGGCGUAAAGCGUGCGCAGGCGGUUUUGCAAGCCGGAUGUGAAAUCCCCGGGCUUAACCUGGGAAUGGCAUUUGGGACUGCAAGGCUCGAGUGCGGCAGAGGAGACUGGAAUUCCUGGUGUAGCAGUGAAAUGCGUAGAUAUCAGGAGGAACACCGAUGGCGAAGGCAGGUCUCUGGGCUGACACUGACGCUCAUGCACGAAAGCGUGGGGAGCAAACAGG